UGGGGAAUUUUGGACAAUGGGGGAAACCCUGAUCCAGCCAUCCCGCGUGUGCGAUGAAGGCCUUCGGGUUGUAAAGCACUUUUGGCAGGAAAGAAACGUCGCGGGUUAAUACCCCGCGAAACUGACGGUACCUGCAGAAUAAGCACCGGCUAACUACGUGCCAGCAGCCGCGGUAAUACGUAGGGUGCAAGCGUUAAUCGGAGUUACUGGGCGUAAAGCGUGCGCAGGCGGUUCGGAAAGAAAGAUGUGAAAUCCCAGAGCUUAACUUUGGAACUGCAUUUUUAACUACCGGGCUAGAGUGUGUCAGAGGGAGGUGGAAUUCCGCGUGUAGCAGUGAAAUGCGUAGAUAUGCGGAGGAACACCGAUGGCGAAGGCAGCCUCCUGGGAUAACACUGACGCUCAUGCACGAAAAGCGUGGGGAGCAAACAGGAUUAGAUACCCUGGUAGUCCACGCCCUAAACGAUGUCAACUAGCUGUUGGGGCCUUCGGGCCUUGGUAGCGCAGCUAACGCGUGAAGUUGACCGCCUGGGGAGUACGGUCGCAAGAUUAAAAACUCAAAUGAAUUGACGGGG
RNAcentral lists this ribosomal RNA (572 nucleotides) under uncultured bacterium. RNAcentral describes it as "partial 16S ribosomal RNA". It matches the Rfam family "Bacterial small subunit ribosomal RNA", at positions 355 to 918 of the family's 1533-position model. The record is from RNAcentral.